RNAcentral lists this unclassified non-coding RNA (287 nucleotides) under Hyphoderma sp. Its description in RNAcentral is "partial contains 5.8S ribosomal RNA, internal transcribed spacer 2, and large subunit ribosomal RNA". The record is from RNAcentral. Lineage: Eukaryota; Fungi; Basidiomycota; Agaricomycetes; Polyporales; Hyphodermataceae.
CGCACCUUGCGCUCCUUGGUAUUCCGAGGAGCAUGCCUGUUUGAGUGUCAUGUUCUCCUCAGCUCCUUCGGAUUUUUGUCUGAAUGCAGCUGGACUUGGAGGCUGCUGGACUUAAUUGUUCAGCUCCUCUUAAAAGGAUUAGUGUGAAUGUUAUCAAAUGUUCUCCGGUGUGAUAAUUAUCUGCGCUGUUGAAUGUUGAUUACUAUAGUUCAUGCUUCUAACCGUCCGUAAGGACAACAUACUUUAAGUUUGACCUCAAAUCAGGUAGGACUACCCGCUGAACUUAA